This 497-nucleotide ribosomal RNA is filed under the name uncultured bacterium. RNAcentral's name for it is "partial 16S ribosomal RNA". It matches the Rfam family "Bacterial small subunit ribosomal RNA", at positions 28 to 507 of the family's 1533-position model. The record is from RNAcentral.
GAUGAACGCUGGCGGCGUGCCUAAUACAUGCAAGUCGAGCGAACGGACGAGAAGCUUGCUUCUCUGAUGUUAGCGGCGGACGGGUGAGUAACACGUGGAUAACCUACCUAUAAGACUGGGAUAACUUCGGGAAACCGGAGCUAAUACCGGAUAAUAUUUUGAACCGCAUGGUUCAAAAGUGAAAGACGGUCUUGCUGUCACUUAUAGAUGGAUCCGCGCUGCAUUAGCUAGUUGGUAAGGUAACGGCUUACCAAGGCAACGAUGCAUAGCCGACCUGAGGGGUUUACCUGCCAGACUCUAACUGAUCCACUGGUCAUUCUCCUCAUUGAGUCAGGAUUAGUGCAUCUUCCAACGUGGGUGAUAAGGUUGCUGAUCUUCGUGGCGUGAUUGAUUAUGAUGCUCAGAUUAUAUAUCUCUGUUAUUAGGGUAGCUUAUAUUUUUAUGUAAUUCUGCACACCUUCACGGUUCCUUAUCAGAUUGCUACGUCUAAUUACGUG